Molecule: long non-coding RNA, 915 nt
Organism: Acanthochromis polyacanthus (spiny chromis)
Lineage: Eukaryota; Metazoa; Chordata; Actinopteri; Pomacentridae
Exons: 7
Source: RefSeq, a predicted model, not a curated record
GCAAAACCUACCAGGUAAAAGGAUGUAAACAGAGGAUAAUAAUAAACAAUAAUAACAAACAUGAAGCUAACCCUACCAGGUAAAAGGAUGUAAACAGCUGAUAAUAAUAAACAAUAAUAACAAACAUGAAGCUAACCCUACCAGGUAAAAGGAUGUAAACAGCUGAUAAUAAUAAACAAUAAUAACAAACAUGAAGCUAAACCUACCAGGUAAAAGGAUGUAAACAGCUGAUAAUAACAAACAAUAAUAACAAACAUGAAGCUAAACCUACCAGGUAAAAGGAUGUAAACAGCUGAUAAUAAUAAACAAUAAUAACAAACAUGAAGCUAAACCUACCAGGUAAAAGGAUGUAAACAGAGGAUAAUAAUAAACAAUAAUAACAAACAUGAAGCUAACCCUACCAGGUAAAAGGAUGUAAACAGAGGAUAAUAAUAAACAAUAAUAACAAACAUGAAGCUAAACCUACCAGGUAAAAGGAUGUAAACAGCUGAUAAUAAUAAACAAUAAUAACAAACAUGAAGCUAACCCUACCAGGUAAAAGGAUGUAAACAGCUGAUAAUAAUAAACAAUAAUAACAAACAUGAAGCUAACCCUACCAGGUAAAAGGAUGUAAACAGCUGAUAAUAAUAAACAAUAAUAACAAACAUGAAGCUAAACCUACCAGGUAAAAGGAUGUAAACAGCUGAUAAUAAUAAACAAUAAUAACAAACAUGAAGCUAAACCUACCAGGUAAAAGGAUGUAAACAGAGGAUAAUAAUAAACAAUAAUAACAAACAUGAAGCUAAACCUACCAGGUAAAAGGAUGUAAACAGAGGAUAAUAAUAAACAAUAAUAACAAACAUGAAGCUAAACCUACCAGGUAAAAGGAUGUAAACAGCUGAUAAUAAUAAACAAUAAUAACAAACAUGAAGCUAA